UUGCUUAGUCGUUAACCAUAG
RNAcentral lists this microRNA (21 nucleotides) under Drosophila virilis. Its description in RNAcentral is "dvi-miR-9712-5p". The record is from miRBase by way of RNAcentral. Lineage: Eukaryota; Metazoa; Arthropoda; Insecta; Diptera; Drosophilidae.